CGCGUAGGCGGAUUGGAAAGUUGGGGUGAAAUCCCGGGGUUCAACUUCGGAAUUGCCUUCAAAACUUCUAGUCUUGAGGUCGAGAGAGGUGAGUGGAAUUCCGAGUGUAGAGGUGAAAUUCGUAGAUAUUCGGAGGAACACCAGUGGCGAAGGCGGCUAUCUGGGCCUUAACUGACGCUGAAGCGCGAAAGUGUGGGGAGCAAACA
RNAcentral lists this ribosomal RNA (206 nucleotides) under uncultured bacterium. RNAcentral's name for it is "partial 16S ribosomal RNA". It matches the Rfam family "Bacterial small subunit ribosomal RNA", at positions 568 to 774 of the family's 1533-position model. The record is from RNAcentral.